RNAcentral lists this ribosomal RNA (372 nucleotides) under uncultured organism. RNAcentral describes it as "partial 16S ribosomal RNA". It matches the Rfam family "Bacterial small subunit ribosomal RNA", at positions 527 to 896 of the family's 1533-position model. The record is from RNAcentral.
GUAGGUGGCAAGCGUUGUCCGGAAUUAUUGGGCGUAAAGCGCGCGCAGGGCGGUUCUUUAAGUCUGAUGUGAAAGCCCACGGCUCAACCGUGGAGGGUCAUUGGAAACUGGAGAACUUGAGUACAGAAGAGGAAAGCGGAAUUCCACGUGUAGCGGUGAAAUGCGUAGAGAUGUGGAGGAACACCAGUGGCGAAGGCGGCUUUCUGGUUUGUAACUGACGCUGAGGCGCGAAAGCGUGGGGAGUAAACAGGAUUAGAUACCCUGGUAGUCCACGCCGUAAACGAUGAGUGCUAAGUGUUAGGGGGUUUCCGCCCCUUAGUGCUGCAGCUAACGCAUUAAGCACUCCGCCUGGGGAGUACGGCCGCAAGGCUG